AACAAACGCUGGCGGCGUGCCUAACACAUGCAAGUCGUACGAGAAAGUCGGCUUCGGCCGAUGAGUACAGUGGCGCACGGGUGAGUAGCGCGUGGGUAAUCUGCCCCCCGGUCAGGAAUAACCCGCCGAAAGGCGGGCUAAUACCCGAUAACACUGACGCUCCGCGGAGCGUCUUUCAAAGAAGGCCUCUGUUUACAAGCUUUCGCCGGAGGAUGAGCCCGCGUACCAUUAGCUAGUUGGCAGGGUAAUGGCCUACCAAGGCUACGAUGGUUAGCUGGUCUGAGAGGAUGGCCAGCCACACUGGAACUGAGACACGGUCCAGACUCCUACGGGAGGCAGCAGUGAGGAAUCUUGCGCAAUGGGGAAACCCUGACGCAGCAACGCCGCGUGAGUGAGGAAGGCCUUCGGGUCGUAAAGACUCUGUCAGAUGGGAAGAAAGUAGGAGUGGGGACGUAAGUAUACGCCCAAUCCUUUACGACCGGUUAACCAACGUACAACGGAAGGAAAGCCGAACCGGACCGUAAACCGUUCCC
RNAcentral lists this ribosomal RNA (533 nucleotides) under uncultured bacterium. Its description in RNAcentral is "bacterial SSU rRNA". It matches the Rfam family "Bacterial small subunit ribosomal RNA", at positions 35 to 539 of the family's 1533-position model. The record is from RNAcentral.